GAAAAGCUUGCGGCUGAUUAGCUUGUUGGUGAGGUAAUGGCUCACCAAGGCGACGAUCAGUAUCUGGUUUGAGAGGACGAUCAGACACACUGGAACUGAGACACGGUCCAGACUCCUACGGGAGGCAGCAGUAGGGAAUUUUCCGCAAUGGGCGAAAGCCUGACGGAGCAAUACCGCGUGAGGGAUGAAUGCCUAUGGGUUGUAAACCUCUUUUUUCAGGGAGGAACCUAAUGACGUGUACCUGAAGAAUAAGCAUCGGCUAACUCCGUGCCAGCAGCCGCGGUAAGACGGAGGAUGCAAGUGUUAUCCGGAAUCACUGGGCGUAAAGCGUCUGUAGGUGGUUUAAUAAGUCAACUGUUAAAUCUUGAGGCUUAACUUCAAAAUCGCAGUCGAAACUAUUAGACUAGAGUAUAGUAGGGGUAAAGGGAAUUUCCAGUGAAGCGGUGAAAUGCGUAGAUAUUGGAAGGAACACCAAUGGCGUAAGCACUUUACUGGGCUGUUACUGACACUCAGAGACGAAAGCUAGGGUAGCAAAUGGGAUUAGAU
Molecule: ribosomal RNA, 546 nt
Filed under: uncultured bacterium
Lineage: Bacteria
Description: bacterial SSU rRNA
Rfam family: Bacterial small subunit ribosomal RNA
Source: RNAcentral